AAAGCAUGAUGUGGGCAUCUUCUCAAGAGCUCCCUAUAACUCUUCCAAGCCUCAUACAAAGAUUCAGUUUCUUGUUGCACAAAAUAGUGAUUUCAUUUCUCAUUUU
Small nucleolar RNA from Vigna unguiculata (cowpea), 106 nucleotides. Lineage: Eukaryota; Viridiplantae; Streptophyta; Magnoliopsida; Fabales; Fabaceae. The record is from RefSeq and is a predicted model, not a curated record.